Molecule: ribosomal RNA, 302 nt
Filed under: uncultured bacterium
Lineage: Bacteria
Description: partial 16S ribosomal RNA
Rfam family: Bacterial small subunit ribosomal RNA
Source: RNAcentral
GCAGUAGCCGCGGUAAUACGUAGGGUGCAAGCGUUAAUCGGAAUUACUGGGCGUAAAGCGUGCGCAGGCGGUUUUGUAAGACAGAGGUGAAAUCCCCGGGCUCAACCUGGGAACUGCCUUUGUGACUGCAAGGCUAGAGUACGGCAGAGGGGGAUGGAAUUCCGCGUGUAGCAGUGAAAUGCGUAGAUAUGCGGAGGAACACCGAUGGCGAAGGCAAUCCCCUGGGCCUGUACUGACGCUCAUGCACGAAAGCGUGGGGAGCAAACAGGAUUAGAUACCCCUGUAGUCCCUGUCUCUUAUAC